UCGGGAAUUUUGGGCAAUGGGCGAAAGCCUGACCCAGCAACGCCGCGUGAAGGAUGAAGUAUUUCGGUAUGUAAACUUCGAAAGAAUGGGAAGAAUAAAUGACGGUACCAUUUAUAAGCUCCGGCUAACUACGUGCCAGCAGCCGCGGUAAUACGUAGGGAGCAAGCGUUGUUCGGAAUUACUGGGCGUAAAGCGCACGUAGGCGGAUUGUUAAGUCAGAGGUGAAAUCCCGGAGCUCAACUUCGGAACUGCCUUUGAUACUGGCAAUCUAGAGUCCGGAAGAGGUUAGUGGAAUUCCCAGUGUAGAGGUGAAAUUCGUAGAUAUUGGGAAGAACACCAGUGGCGAAGGCGGCUAACUGGUCCGGUACUGACGCUGAGGUGCGAAAGCGUGGGGAGCAAACAGGAUUAGAUACCCCCGUAGUCCCUGAGCGGGCUGGCAAGGCGCAU
This 447-nucleotide ribosomal RNA is filed under the name uncultured bacterium. RNAcentral's name for it is "bacterial SSU rRNA". It matches the Rfam family "Bacterial small subunit ribosomal RNA", at positions 355 to 825 of the family's 1533-position model. The record is from RNAcentral.